GGUCAGCGACUUAUAUUCUGUAGCAAGGUUAACCGAAUAGGGGAGCCGGAGGGAAACCGAGUCUUAAUUGGGCGUUAAGUUGCAGGGUAUAGACCCGAAACCCGGUGAUCUAGCCAUGGGCAGGUUGAAGGUUGGGUAACACUAACUGGAGGACCGAACCGACUAAUGUUGAAAAAUUAGCGGAUGACCUGUGGCUGGGGGUGAAAGGCCAAUCAAACCGGGAGAUAGCUGGUUCUCCCCGAAAGCUAUUUAGGUAGCGCCUCGUGAAUUCAUCUCCGGGGGUAGAGCACUGUUUCGGCUAGGGGGCCAUCCCGGCUUACCAACCCGAUGCAAACUGCGAAUACCGGAGAAUGUUAUCACGGGAGACACACGGCGGGUGCUAACGUCCGUCGUGAAGAGGGAAACAACCCAGACCGCCAGCUAAGGUCCCAAAGUCAUGGUUAAGUGGGAAACGAUGUGGGAAGGCCCAGACAGCCAGGAUGUUGGCUUAGAAGCAGCCAUCAUUUAAAGAAAGCGUAAUAGCUCACUGGUCGAGUCGGCCUGCGCGGAAGAUGUAACGGGGCUAAACCAUGCACCGAAGCUGCGGCAGCGACGCUGAUG
RNAcentral lists this ribosomal RNA (600 nucleotides) under Salmonella enterica subsp. enterica serovar Brandenburg. Its description in RNAcentral is "partial 23S ribosomal RNA". It matches the Rfam family "Bacterial large subunit ribosomal RNA", at positions 618 to 1220 of the family's 2925-position model. Lineage: Bacteria; Pseudomonadati; Pseudomonadota; Gammaproteobacteria; Enterobacterales; Enterobacteriaceae. The record is from RNAcentral.